UGGGGAAUUUUGCACAAUGGGGGAAACCCUGAUGCAGCGACGCCGCGUGAUUUAGAAGGCCUUCGGGAUGUAAAAAUCUUUUUUACGGGAUGAAAAUGACAGUACCGUAAGAAUACGGUCCGGCUACAUACGUGCCAGCAGCCGCGGUAAUACGUAUGGACCGAGCGUUGUCCGGAAUCAUUGGUCGUAAAGGGUACGUAGGCGGCCUAAUAAGUUAGAAGUGAAAGAAUAUAGCCCAACUAUAUAAAGCAUUUAAAACUGUUAGGCUUGAGAGAUGAAAGGGAAAGUGGAAUUGCUAGUGUAGCGGUGAAAUGCGCAGAUAUUAGGAAGAAUACCGGUGGCGAAGGCGACUUUCUGGGCAUCAUCUGACGCUGAGGUACGAAAGCGUGGGUAGCGAACAGG
This 402-nucleotide ribosomal RNA is filed under the name bacterium. Its description in RNAcentral is "partial 16S ribosomal RNA". It matches the Rfam family "Bacterial small subunit ribosomal RNA", at positions 355 to 776 of the family's 1533-position model. The record is from RNAcentral.